This 23-nucleotide small nuclear RNA is filed under the name Arabidopsis thaliana (thale cress). Its description in RNAcentral is "snRNA_10911". Lineage: Eukaryota; Viridiplantae; Streptophyta; Magnoliopsida; Brassicales; Brassicaceae. The record is from RNAcentral.
UUUUGCUCAUUUUAAGGGAUUGC